Molecule: ribosomal RNA, 492 nt
Filed under: uncultured bacterium
Lineage: Bacteria
Description: partial 16S ribosomal RNA
Rfam family: Bacterial small subunit ribosomal RNA
Source: RNAcentral
AGUGAACGCUGGCGGCAGGCCUAACACAUGCAAGUCGAACGACCACACAGUGAGAUUUCUCCUCUAACGGUGGCGGCUGGCGGAUGAGUGACGCAUACAUCACCUACUUAUAUUACUUGGGUAAUUACGUGGAGACGGAUAUACUGCUAGCGCAUAUGUUCUACCGCUUAGUGCAAUAGAUCAUCGCAGCUUUGCUGUCUCUUAUAGCUGAUGUCGCGUUAGCUAGUUGGGGGGGUAAAGGCCCACCAAGGCGACGAUCCGUAGCUGGUCUGAGAGGAUGAUCAGCCACACUGGAACUGAGACACGGUCCAGACUCCUACGGGAGGCAGCAGUGGGGAAUAUUGGACAAUGGGCGCAAGCCUGAUCCAGCCAUACCGCGUGGGUGAAGAAGGCCUUCGGGUUGUAAAGCCCUUUUGUUGGGAAAGAAAAGCAGCAGGUUAAUACCCCGCUGUUCUGACGGUACCCAAAGAAUAAGCACCGGCUAACUUCGUG